UGACUGCGUACCUUUUGUAUAAUGGGUCAGCGACUUAUAUUCUGUAGCAAGGUUAACCGUAUAGGGGAGCCGGAGGGAAACCGAGUCUUAAUUGGGCGUUAAGUUGCAGGGUAUAGACCCGAAACCCGGUGAUCUAGCCAUGGGCAGGUUGAAGGUUGGGUAACACUAACUGGAGGACCGAACCGACUAAUGUUGAAAAAUUAGCGGAUGACCUGUGGCUGGGGGUGAAAGGCCAAUCAAACCGGGAGAUAGCUGGUUCUCCCCGAAAGCUAUUUAGGUAGCGCCUCGUGAAUUCAUCUCCGGGGGUAGAGCACUGUUUCGGCUAGGGGGCCAUCCCGGCUUACCAACCCGAUGCAAACUGCGAAUACCGGAGAAUGUUAUCACGGGAGACACACGGCGGGUGCUAACGUCCGUCGUGAAGAGGGAAACAACCCAGACCGCCAGCUAAGGUCCCAAAGUCAUGGUUAAGUGGGAAACGAUGUGGGAAGGCCCAGACAGCCAGGAUGUUGGCUUAGAAGCAGCCAUCAUUUAAAGAAAGCGUAAUAGCUCACUGGUCGAGUCGGCCUGCGCGGAAGAUGUAACGGGGCUAAACCAUGCACCGAAGCUGCGGCAGCGAACGUAUCACCCAAGACAACUUUACGGAGUUGACGAUUGACGGAGCGAAGCGACGUCAAAGCGUUCAUUAAAGUCGAGUUGGCUUAGGGAUACGUUCGUUGGGUAGGGGAGCGUUCUGUAAGCCUGUGAAGGUGUGUCGUGAGGCAUGCUGGAGGUAUCAGAAGUGCGAAUGCUGACAUAAGUAACGAUAAAGCGGGUGAAAAGCCCGCUCGCCGGAAGACCAAGGGUUCCUGUCCAACGUUAAUCGGGGCAGGGUGAGUCGACCCCUAAGGCGAGGCCGAAAGGCGUAGUCGAUGGGAAACGGGUUAAUAUUCCCGUACUUGGUGUUACUGCGAAGGGGGGACGGAGAAGGCUAUGUUGGCCGGGCGACGGUUGUCCCGGUUUAAGCGUGUAGGUGUGUGUUCCAGGUAAAUCCGGUUCACUUUAACACUGAGGCGUGACGACGAGGCACUACGGUGCUGAAGCAACAAAUGCCCUGCUUCCAGGAAAAGCCUCUAAGCAUCAGGUAACACGAAAUCGUACCCCAAACCGACACAGGUGGUCAGGUAGAGAAUACCAAGGCGCUUGAGAGAACUCGGGUGAAGGAACUAGGCAAAAUGGUGCCGUAACUUCGGGAGAAGGCACGCUGACACGUAGGUGAAGUGAUUUACUCAUGGAGCUGAAGUCAGUCGAAGAUACCAGCUGGCUGCAACUGUUUAUUAAAAACACAGCACUGUGCAAACACGAAAGUGGACGUAUACGGUGUGACGCCUGCCCGGUGCCGGAAGGUUAAUUGAUGGGGUCAGCGCAAGCGAAGCUCCUGAUCGAAGCCCCGGUAAACGGCGGCCGUAACUAUAACGGUCCUAAGGUAGCGAAAUUCCUUGUCGGGUAAGUUCCGACCUGCACGAAUGGCGUAAUGAUGGCCAGGCUGUCUCCACCCGAGACUCAGUGAAAUUGAACUCGCUGUGAAGAUGCAGUGUACCCGCGGCAAGACGGAAAGACCCCGUGAACCUUUACUAUAGCUUGACACUGAACAUUGAGCCUUGAUGUGUAGGAUAGGUGGGAGGCUUUGAAGUGUGGACGCCAGUCUGCAUGGAGCCGACCUUGAAAUACCACCCUUUAAUGUUUGAUGUUCUAACGUGGACCCGUAAUCCGGGUUGCGGACAGUGUCUGGUGGGUAGUUUGACUGGGGCGGUCUCCUCCUAAAGAGUAACGGAGGAGCACGAAGGUUGGCUAAUCCUGGUCGGACAUCAGGAGGUUAGUGCAAUGGCAUAAGCCAGCUUGACUGCGAGCGUGACGGCGCGAGCAGGUGCGAAAGCAGGUCAUAGUGAUCCGGUGGUUCUGAAUGGAAGGGCCAUCGCUCAACGGAUAAAAGGUACUCCGGGGAUAACAGGCUGAUACCGCCCAAGAGUUCAUAUCGACGGCGGUGUUUGGCACCUCGAUGUCGGCUCAUCACAUCCUGGGGCUGAAGUAGGUCCCAAGGGUAUGGCUGUUCGCCAUUUAAAGUGGUACGCGAGCUGGGUUUAGAACGUCGUGAGACAGUUCGGUCCCUAUCUGCCGUGGGCGCUGGAGAACUGAGGGGGGCUGCUCCUAGUACGAGAGGACCGGAGUGGACGCAUCACUGGUGUUCGGGUUGUCAUGCCAAUGGCACUGCCCGGUAGCUAAAUGCGGAAGAGAUAAGUGCUGAAAGCAUCUAAGCACGAAACUUGCCCCGAGAUGAGUUCU
This 2319-nucleotide ribosomal RNA is filed under the name Salmonella enterica subsp. enterica serovar Newport. RNAcentral describes it as "bacterial LSU rRNA". It matches the Rfam family "Bacterial large subunit ribosomal RNA", at positions 594 to 2812 of the family's 2925-position model. The record is from RNAcentral. Lineage: Bacteria; Pseudomonadati; Pseudomonadota; Gammaproteobacteria; Enterobacterales; Enterobacteriaceae. RNAcentral also lists the same sequence under 1 other name.